UACGAAGGGGACUAGCGUUGUUCGGAAUCACUGGGCAUAAAGCGCACGUAGGCGGAUGUGUCAGUCAGGGGUGAAAUCCCGGGGCUCAACCUCGGAACUGCCUUUGAUACAGCACGUCUCGAGUCCGGAAGAGGUGGGUGGAAUUCCUAGUGUAGAGGUGAAAUUCGUAGAUAUUAGGAAGAACACCGGUGGCGAAGGCGGCCCACUGGUCCGGUACUGACGCUGAGGUGCGAAAGCGUGGGGAGCAAACAGG
RNAcentral lists this ribosomal RNA (253 nucleotides) under uncultured bacterium. RNAcentral describes it as "partial 16S ribosomal RNA". It matches the Rfam family "Bacterial small subunit ribosomal RNA", at positions 524 to 776 of the family's 1533-position model. The record is from RNAcentral.